ACUUAGACUCUGUUAUUUGGUUACUUUCUCCUCUUGGAUUAUUAUUAAGCCCUGUGCUGGCCAACAUGUGGCUCCUAGCCACAGAUGGCCACUGAGUGCUUGAAAUGGGCUAGGUCAAACUGGAAUGGUUCUAAGUAUGGAAUGCCGAGUGGAAUUUGGGGACUUAGAACAAAAAAAGCUCUGUGGAUGAAGACAGAAGCCAAUGUGUGGAGAUGAGUGAAUAAAUCAUGCUUGUGAAUGGUGAAAGAGAUGCCUGCACCUAAAAGUUGUGUUCAUUCACCGAGUGAUUCGUGCCUCAAGAACUGGCUUCUGUAGCAGCAAGAGGCUUCUGUUGUCAAGAUCUGGUGAACGUCCACACCAACGACAAAAUUCCUGAUGUGGAAAACCAACCUUUUACGAGCCACAAUCACACAAACACAGAGGAGAAAGCAUGAAUUCAGAAUCUUCUAAAAAUUCAUAUCUAAGAUGGAAGGGACUUGGCUUGAGAGUUUGAUUUCAACUUCUGUAAUGUAUUCAGAAUCCACCAUCCUUUAUUUACUACUAACUGCCUUCAAGUGAUCAGGUUCAGAAACAGAUUUCAGGAGGUUAUUUUGACUCAGUUCUCUGUUUUGAAUGAUCUGAGUCAUGUGUGAAUCUAUACCCACCCAGCCCAGAGGGGCAGAUUGCUGGCAGAGGGAAGGUAUUCUAUAUGCAGAGUGAAAGGGAAUGUUCAGGAUAAGUAGCAGAAAUCACCUAAUGCACAAAAAGUCCAACCUGGGCUGUUUUGAGGCAAACAGUGGUAUGGUUACUGCAAGCAAUUAUCUGCUGAAGUAAUAAAUGAAUAACACAAAA
Molecule: long non-coding RNA, 831 nt
Organism: Neogale vison (American mink)
Lineage: Eukaryota; Metazoa; Chordata; Mammalia; Carnivora; Mustelidae
Exons: 2
Source: RefSeq, a predicted model, not a curated record